GGUACAUAUGUAUUGUAAGUCGCUCUGGAUAAGAGCGUCUGCUAAAUGACGUAAA
This is a non-coding RNA of Salmo salar (Atlantic salmon), 55 nucleotides long. NCBI's taxonomy places the organism in Eukaryota, Metazoa, Chordata, Actinopteri, Salmoniformes, Salmonidae. The record is from Rfam.